Molecule: long non-coding RNA, 5323 nt
Filed under: Equus caballus (horse)
Lineage: Eukaryota; Metazoa; Chordata; Mammalia; Perissodactyla; Equidae
Description: lncRNA (ENSECAG00000046748.1)
Source: RNAcentral
GGGCGUUGUUCGUGUGAGAGCGGAGGGUGGCGUGGCCUGCGGUGGUGGGAGUGGACAGGGGAGAGAAGGGAAUGGAUUAGGGGUAUAUUUUGGAGGUAGAACUAAGAGUACUUGGUGAUGGAUGUCGGUGGAGGGUGACGGAGACACAGGUUUAGAGGGUUCCUUUCAGGUUUCUGGUUUGAGCAACUAGCUGGGCUGGAGGGGGUUGGGUGGGAAAACCAGGUGUAGGCAGUGGUGGGGAGGGCAGACCCCAAGCUCACCUUUGGACAUGUUUGAGAUGCCAUGAGACACAUGAGGGAGCUGUCAAGUCAGCGCUGGGUCUGUAAGCCUGCAGGUGGGCUCAGGAAGACCACCCGGGUUGAGCUGCGUCUCUGGGAGCUGUGGGCCCAUCGAUGGUGUUGAAAGAGGUGAAAAGAAGUUCAGUCUCCCAAGGAGACUGUGGAGGUGAGAGGAGAGCGCCGGGCCUGAGCCUGAAGAGGUCAGUAGAUGGGGAGAUGAAGAAGGAAAGUCAGAGAGGAUGGUGGCAAGAAAGCCAAGAAAAGAGAGAGUGGAAGGCGUGUUAACUGAGGAGGAAGAUGGAGGCAUCUGGAACCACUGUGGGAUUCUGUGCAGAGAUUAGGAGUAAGGACAAUAAUGAACACUUAAGGACUCACCGUCUACCAGACAUGGGCUAAAUGCUUUACACCACUUCUCUUAGAUAAUUCUCCCAAGAACUCUGCAGCAUCUCCACUUUACGAAUGAGGAAACGGAAGCACAGCUGUCUUGGGCUUGCCCGGGGCCACACCGCUGAUAGCAGCGGUGCCAGGUCUCACAGUGGUUCUUACUGACUGGAGGCUCUGCACCCAACCAUGGCCCUCACUGCCUUGAUUCUUGGCCCAUACGGGCAAGGAUGGAUGUGCCUUAAACUCACCGUUGGUGCUUUAGAGCUUAGAUUGGGAGGUCUCACUUUAUUGGAGAAUAAACACGAAAACCACUUUGUUUUCUAGUAAUGCCUACUGGCUGUGCUGUGUUGACCAUGACCUGGGCAGCAGGUUCCCUUGGCAACUUCUCAAUUGGGUUCCAUAAUUUUGCACUCACUUCUGCUUAUUGCAACAGUCUCCUGGUUAUUGGAACUUACUCUCAUUCAUUUUGCAAUUUCAACUUCAACUUCAGAGUCCAUUCAGAGCUCCUUGCCUCCUCCCAGCCCUGGCCGUGUCCCUGGAGCCGAGGCUUGGAGAGGAGGAAGGCGUGGUCUGUUUGCUCGCACACCCUCCCUCUCUGUGCAUUUCCCCUGUGUGGUGGUGGUGGCGGGGGUUGGCUGGAGGGAUGGGACAGGGGCUUGCUUGCUUUCUUUCAGGAGGUCAUUGCCUGGUGCAGAUGUUGACCGUGGGUUUGGUGUGGAGAAGUGGAAACCCCAACAAGCCCCCAGGGGUCUGUUGGGAGCUCAGCAAUUUCUAAGCUUUGCGAGCCUGGACCCCAUCUUUCCGACGUCCCCCAGUGGUGGCCUGGUGCCACAUCCUCUUGUUGUCGCCCCGAUUUGGCUCAUGGCUCAGUGGUGUCAGGUGCGCCUGCAGCCCAGUCUCUCCUCUCCGUGGCCUCAUUGCUGGGCUUACGGCAGAGGUAGAUGCAUCUUUAGUUCUUCUGACGCUGGCACUCUCGUUCCAGCCACCUGGCUUCAGGUCCUGCUCGUUGGACAGGGCGGGAAGGCCAAAGGCUACGGAGCCCACCAACCCAGACGCCUUCCUCCGUUUCUUGCAGACGCUGCUAAAUGUGGUGAGGGAGGCUCUGAGGAGAGGGGAGCCACUCUCUUCUGUCACACAGCCUCUGAGUUCCCACGCCUCCCCCCUCACCUCCUCGUGAGGAAGAUCGGCAGGCCAGUUCUCCGCUUCUGCCCCCGAGCGCCGGAGCCCCCUUUGAGCCUGAAGAAUGUGGAACCUUCUGUUUCUGUGUUCCAUGUCUGGGGUCACGUCUAUGACCUCAGAGGUUGAGAGAAGACCCCAGUCAGGGCCUCACUGUUAGGGUUAGGGUUAGCUUGGUGCAGGGGACUGGAUUCCUCUCAGAAAGCUGGCUGCCACGGCAUCUCGGCAACUGUGAAUUUGUAGCUCUAGAGCACCCGGGAAGGGGUAGAAGGACCCGGGAUUGUCCCUUUAGGCUGACCUAGAGAGGAGCAGGGCCAGCUGUGGACUUUUCUCCCUGUUGCUUUGCUUUCCCGAGAGACAGGCCGCGUGAGAGGGUGGCACACUGAUCCUCUCUGGCCAUACAGGGCUCCCGGGGGCCACGAGCAGAGGUGUGGGGCCUGGUGGCCCUGGUCACCCUGAAAAAGGCAAAUCGACACUACAUCUUCCUCAGUCUUUGCAGGAACCGGGCCUGGUGAUGGUCACCAGGGCUCCUGAUGGAUAUGAUGACAUAGAGGCUGCCCUCGAAAUGCCAGCGAGGUGGUUAAAAGCACUGGCCAGAAUCAGCAUUCAAUCUGGGAACAUCUUGGGCACAGUUUGAACUAAUUCCUGUCUAUAAAAAAAUACCAGAAAAGGUAAGUUAUUAAGUGUUCCACACAGCAGUGUCUCUCUUUAUCUUGUGCCAGCCACUUCAAACAAAAAAAUUUAGAACCACGGCCAAAAUGGCAUGGAGAAGGGUUGAUUUGACGACUCCUUUGUGUUCGCAGCUCUCCAAUGUUACCUGUUCUUAUAUUCAAAGGCACACUAAUUCAAUUCUGCUUUGAUCUUUGAAAUUCAUUUUAAAGAGCAUUCCGUGUCUACUCCUUGUUCUGUGAGUGUUGAGAGAGCCUUUGUCCAAUUGCAUUGGAGUUAGGUCUAUGACAAAAUUCACAUGCGAGGAGCAAUUAGUGAACAAUUAAGAACAAAAGUAGGCAACCCUGUGUUGAAGUGCAGUAGAAGUGCAGCUGGGGGAGAUGUUAGUGCAGGUUGGAGUUUCUGGUUGAGGCUCCAGGGGGACUCAGGCCAGGCCUUGAAGGACGAGCAGGAUUAGGUCAGCAGUGAGAGGGAAAGAUAAAUACCCAAACUGGAAAGACCACAGAUUCCUUUCUUCUUACCUGCAGAAAAUUGCUUUCCAAUUAGCACCCAUUGUUGACUUGAUUGAAGAGAAAGUAAUGACUUGACCUCUUCUGAUAGCAACCCUCUCCAACGCGGUGCCUUGCUCAGAGUGAGGUCUGCAGACCGACAACAUCAGCAUUACCUGGUUGUUGGAAAGGAGACUUCUUAGAAAUGCAAAUUCGCAGACUUAUUGAGUCAGAAUCUUUUGAGGUGGGCCUGACAAUGUGUGUUUUACCAAGUUUACAGGGUGGUUCUUAUGCAUGCUAAAUAUUGAGAACACUGUUCUCAAGUGUUUUUCCUGGCCACUCUGGCAUCCAGGACAUAUUUGGAAUGAAAUGGCCAGGGCCAGCUUCUAGGGCCUCUAAGUGUGGACCAAGACUGGGCAGGUACGGAUAUCCAAUUAGCAGAUCAUGUAAAUGGAAAACCUUGUAAUUGUGCCCGGCCAGCAGCGUAGUUAAAUAAAUAAAUAGAAGGAUGCCUGGCUCUCGUCUCCCACAGCUGCCUCACAUGUUUCAACCCCAGGCCACGGGCAGCAGAAGUGGCGGGGGUGGUGCUGGCUCCCUGGCAUGAGGCGGUCUGGCUAUCUGGGGAGAGCGAGCCGCCCACUUAAAACGCCCUCAUGAAAAUAACUCAUUAUCAACAAGGCUGUUACUCAGAGCUUGUUCCUCUGACAGCAAAGCAGAACCAUAAACAAGACUCCCAGUCAUCUUGUCAACCUCCUUUCAUACUUGCCGUCUAUUCUUUUCAUUAACAUUAGGGAAAAUUUUCCUGAUUCAUUGAAGCUCUAAGCCCACACAUCAUUGAGUCUUUGCUCCCACUCUGGACGGGAUCUGGAGAGUGUGAUGAGAACCACUCAUGUAUUCUCAAAACAGUAUCGGUUUCCCCACAGUCUCUUUUAGCACAAUAAUGCUAAGAAGGGCUUGGAGGGGAGGGUCUCCAGGGGAGGUCAGAGUCCUUUAGCAAACGGGCUGCCCAAAUGGAUGGGCUGGGCUUCGAAAGCCCAGCAGUUUGUUUUCCAAUGGUGGUUUGAUUCAGCUGCCAAGAACCCAAAUUAGGAAAGGUUUUGUUGACAGCUCAUAAGAGGACACUCUGAAAGACUGGGUAAAGGUUAUUGCCAACCCUAGACGAUAAAUAGACAUAUAUACAACCCAGAGAAAAAGCAUGUGUAAAUACAUGUGUGUAAAUGUAUAUAUGUUGCUGUGUGUUACUAAAAUAAAUGUGUUUCUCACAGUCUUUGCCAUGGAUGGAAUGAUCAAAACCAGCUGUUCCAUGUAGUUCUUCACUGAAAGGAAGAGAGGGGUGGAGCUGGCGGUUAAGGCAGAUCUGCAGGCUCACUUGAGCUCCAGGCUGACUCCUCUCUUCUCUGGAAAUGGUCACCGUGCCUGGCUCAAACCGCCUGUCACGUGGAUGUGCUGUCCUCUGAGCAGUUCUGUAGCUGACAGCCUGCCCAGGGCCCAAGGCAGAAUGGCCGGUGGUGGCGGCAGCCCCUCUGUGAGGUUGGCGACUGGCUGCAGCAUCCUCAGGCUUCCUCAUCGACAGCUGUGUGACACCAGGCAGGUUUCUUGACCAUUCUGCACCUCAGUCUCUUCACCAGUAGAAUGGAGGUAACAUGAGAACCUCCUCAAGGGGAUGCUGUGAGGAUUUGCAGAGUUCAUGUUCAAAGGACUUACAACAGCGCCUGGCACAGAGCAAGCCUCCUGUAAAUGUUUGUUAACUGAACGUUAAAAGUCUUGCUGUAAGGGGUUGUCUGCACUGAAGUGGCUGGCUUGACUCAAGCCUUGUUUCCUGACGGGGUCCUCUCCAUCCCUAAUCUCUCCCAUGGCCUUCCCGACUCCUCCCGGCUCCAGGAAGUGUGGGAGCAGUUCUUCUCCCCAUGGCUUUUUGGGGUGUAGAGUGAGUCGAACAUUAUUCUGUCCCUGAGCCUUCCCUUCCUCCUCCGACUGAGCAUGAGGGAGUCAAGAUGGCAGGUUCUUCUGAGCAGGAACGAGCCCACACAGGUGCCUGAAUCCCAUCGGGGGUUGGCAUGUGCCAUUAUCGGAACCCUUAAAGUGUGGGUCAGAGACAUCCUUCACCUGAGGUCAAAGGUUAGAUAAGUUCUUCAUCGAAGUGGAAUGAAGUCACUGCUUUCUCCGCCUUGUGCAUGAUGGAGCCUGUUUGGAGAACUACACGGAAAGCAAACGAAUGGCCCAUCCCCAAUUUUUCCAUUCCCUUUUUUUUUUAUCAUCAAAGUUUGAUACAGCUGCUUUGCUUUCCUAUUCCAGCACUGGUAUCUGAUAAUGGCCAACUGAUUUAUG